This 1278-nucleotide ribosomal RNA is filed under the name metagenome. RNAcentral's name for it is "bacterial SSU rRNA". It matches the Rfam family "Bacterial small subunit ribosomal RNA", at positions 208 to 1477 of the family's 1533-position model. The record is from RNAcentral.
AGGCCUUGCGCUCUUUGAGCGGCCGAUAUCAGAUUAGCUAGUUGGUGAGGUAAAGGCUCACCAAGGCGACGAUCUGUAGCGGGUCUGAGAGGAUGAUCCGCCACACUGGAACUGAGACACGGUCCAGACUCCUACGGGAGGCAGCAGUGGGGAAUUUUGGACAAUGGGGGCAACCCUGAUCCAGCCAUGCCGCGUGAGUGAAGAAGGCCUUCGGGUUGUAAAGCUCUUUCGGCCGGGAAGAAAUCGCAUGGGCCAAUACCCUGUGCGGAUGACGGUACCGGCAUAAGAAGCACCGGCUAACUACGUGCCAGCAGCCGCGGUAAUACGUAGGGUGCGAGCGUUAAUCGGAAUUACUGGGCGUAAAGCGUGCGCAGGCGGUUUUGUAAGACAGGCGUGAAAUCCCCGGGCUCAACCUGGGAACUGCGUUUGUGACUGCAAGGCUAGAGUACGGCAGAGGGGGGUGGAAUUCCACGUGUAGCAGUGAAAUGCGUAGAGAUGUGGAGGAACACCAAUGGCGAAGGCAGCCCCCUGGGUCGAUACUGACGCUCAUGCACGAAAGCGUGGGUAGCAAACAGGAUUAGAUACCCUGGUAGUCCACGCCCUAAACGAUGUCAACUAGGUGUUGGGUGGGUAAAACCAUUUAGUACCGGAGCUAACGCGUGAAGUUGACCGCCUGGGGAGUACGGCCGCAAGGUUAAAACUCAAAGGAAUUGACGGGGACCCGCACAAGCGGUGGAUGAUGUGGAUUAAUUCGAUGCAACGCGAAAAACCUUACCUACCCUUGACAUGUCCAGAAGCCUGAAGAGAUUUGGGUGUGCCCGAAAGGGAACUGGAACACAGGUGCUGCAUGGCUGUCGUCAGCUCGUGUCGUGAGAUGUUGGGUUAAGUCCCGCAACGAGCGCAACCCUUGUCGUUAAUUGCCAUCAUUCAGUUGGGCACUUUAACGAGACUGCCGGUGACAAACCGGAGGAAGGUGGGGAUGACGUCAAGUCCUCAUGGCCCUUAUGGGUAGGGCUUCACACGUCAUACAAUGGUCGGUACAAAGGGUUGCCAAGCCGCGAGGUGGAGCCAAUCCCAGAAAGCCGAUCGUAGUCCGGAUCGUAGGCUGCAACUCGCCUGCGUGAAGUCGGAAUCGCUAGUAAUCGUGGAUCAGCAUGUCACGGUGAAUACGUUCCCGGGUCUUGUACACACCGCCCGUCACACCAUGGGAGCGGGUUCCGCCAGAAGUAGGUAGCCUAACCGCAAGGGGGGCGCUUACCACGGCGGGGUUCGUGACUG